RNAcentral lists this long non-coding RNA (834 nucleotides) under Capsicum annuum. RNAcentral's name for it is "long non-coding RNA (CANN_LNC017810)". Lineage: Eukaryota; Viridiplantae; Streptophyta; Magnoliopsida; Solanales; Solanaceae. The record is from RNAcentral.
CCCACAAAACAGCAACCAACGUUCAACAUUCUGCACAGCUGUAGCAACGGAAAAAAAUAAAUUCUUAAGGGAUUCUUAUUGGGUUCAAGGAAAAUUUCCUAACUUAGUUGAUAUAUUUGAUUCAUAUAUGUUAUGGCUUUCGAGUUUGGAGAUUGGGAGUUUAAGAAUAAGGGAUUUCAAGUGAUAGAGAAAUCUUUAAAUUCUCAUGAACGGAGAAAUAAUAUUAGACGAUUGAAUUAUAGUUUUAUACUUUUCGAGUCAGGGAUUAAGGUAUCCUUUCCUACAUCAUUAUUGCGAUUUUGGGUAUUGAAAUUUAAUUGCCAAAGGCAAGAAUUUUGGGACAAUAAGGUGUUGUUUUGGAUACAAAGUUUGAUGAAUUAAAAGUUACAAUGAAACCUUGAGGGCUGGGUUAUCUAAUUUUACCAUGAAUUAGCCUAAAAUAAGAGAUUUAACACGAGAAUGGACAUGAUGUGAUUAUAGGUUUGAUCCAAGAAAGUGAUACGAAUCAUUCGAGGUGACAAGUUUGGUAUUUCGACACGUGUACUGUGAGUAGUAAUCUUACCAUAAUUUUUGUUUGUAAACUUGCAUAUUUUAUACUUGAUUUUGACGAAACAAUGAGUUACGAAAUGCUUUGAAAUUGCAUGUGGGGCAAGUCCUUUACUUGAUAUGAUAUUGAAAUUGUUAUUUGAGAUAUGAUAUUAUUACUGUGAAUAUUCUUCAAUUACAUUAGAAAUAUGUAUUUUGACAUGUGUUUUUAUUCAAGUUUACAUGUAACAUGAGUUGAUAUGAACUUUAAAUGAUAUAUAUUAUUCUGAAAAAUGCUUUCAUAUGAAU